Molecule: long non-coding RNA, 729 nt
Organism: Amaranthus tricolor (Joseph's coat)
Lineage: Eukaryota; Viridiplantae; Streptophyta; Magnoliopsida; Caryophyllales; Amaranthaceae
Exons: 4
Source: RefSeq, a predicted model, not a curated record
AUUACCCAUCUAUAUAGUUCAAAAAAAGAAUAAAAAAAAUUAAUAAUUAUAUUAGUCAAUCAAAUACAAAAUCAGAUUUGUUCAUGCCUGCUAAAUAUCACUACUCAUCUUCUUUCGUAAUUUUUAUUUUCCCUAAAACCCAUAUUUGGUUUUCCCCCUGCAUCUUGGAUACAAUCAACAUUAUCAAUCCUAUCCAACCUCUCUAAAUCAAUUCAAGUUUAUCCCGCACUAAUUCCCUUUAAGUUCGAAGCCCAACCCCGAGUGUUCUUCGACCUUCUCCUCGAAACAAGCAGACGACAUCUGGGUGGGAUUCAGGCGUGUGAUAGUCUGUGUGUGGGUUUCAAAAUUUGCAAUUCCUUUUGCAAAUUGUGAUUCUUGAGUAUAUACCGCAUUAACAAUGUCGAAACCUUGAGGGAGCCGCCAUUCACACCCUUUUCUUGCUCUAUGUGAAAAUUGAAGGAGACAAUUUCUCUACAAAAUCAUUCUAGCUGAUAGCUGCGAAUCGAACCUCACUCUUUGAAGUGUCAUCGUGGAUUUUUUACAGAUCGGUACCAGCCGAGAACGAUGGGAUAGCAGAGAUGAUUAGAGUAUUCUUGGAAGAUAUUUUGGAUUUGUGUAUAUAUUGAAGUUGUAGUGUCCGUAUUGGGCUUUAGAGUGUAAUAGAUUUGAUUAUGUUGACUAUUUUGGACUCUUAUAGUUAGUUGUAUGACUAUUUUGGACUUUGGUUUA